RNAcentral lists this long non-coding RNA (546 nucleotides) under Homo sapiens (human). RNAcentral describes it as "novel transcript". Lineage: Eukaryota; Metazoa; Chordata; Mammalia; Primates; Hominidae. The record is from RNAcentral.
AUGCAGGCCCCGACGGAAGCCGAGACUGCGCUUCGUGCGAGGCCCGGGCAGCAUCGGCGGCGUGGUCAGAGCGAGUCUCGGAGAAGAUGUGGUGGCUUCCGUUUGUUGGUGGAGGAGGUGGCAGGCCUCGGCGGGUAACCCAGAGAACACAGCCGAAGUGGAAUGUGGGGACGUCUGCGACACCGGGGACAGAGCAACUGUGGAUGAAGAGGGCUACAUCUGGUUCCUGGGGAGGAGUCAUGACACUAUCAAUGCCUCUGGGUGGUGAAGGCAUUGAUUGUCCUGACCCCACAGUUUCUGUCCCAUGACAAGGACCAGCUGACUAAGGAGCUGCAGCAGCAUGUAAAGUCAGUGACAGCCCCAUUGACUCACAGAUUCAUAAGACCUGAGACGGACGUGCAUUUUGGGAGAUCCAACUUUAGGAUAUGGGCUCACUGUCUCAGCACAUGCAGACCAGGCCUGAACUCUAUUCAAGAAAGCUGCCUGCCAGUUUAUAGCAGGGGUUAGCAAACCUUUUCCAUGAAGAGCCAGUUAGGAAAUGUUUGA